RNAcentral lists this ribosomal RNA (453 nucleotides) under uncultured bacterium. RNAcentral's name for it is "bacterial SSU rRNA". It matches the Rfam family "Bacterial small subunit ribosomal RNA", at positions 349 to 793 of the family's 1533-position model. The record is from RNAcentral.
CAGCAGUAGGGAAUCUUCCACAAUGGGCGAAAGCCUGAUGGAGCAAUGCCGCGUGAGUGAAGAAGGUUUUCGGAUCGUAAAACUCUGUUGUUGAAGAAGAACAUGCGUGAGAGUAACUGUUCACGUACUGACGGUAUUCAACCAGAAAGCCACGGCUAACUACGUGCCAGCAGCCGCGGUAAUACGUAGGUGGCAAGCGUUGUCCGGAUUUAUUGGGCGUAAAGAGAAUGUAGGCGGUUUAUUAAGUUUGAAGUGAAAGCCCUCGGCUCAACCGAGGAAGUGCUUCGAAAACUGGUAAACUUGAGUGCAGAAGAGGAAAGUGGAACUCCAUGUGUAGCGGUGGAAUGCGUAGAUAUAUGGAAGAACACCAGUGGCGAAGGCGGCUUUCUGGUCUGUAACUGACGCUGAGAUUCGAAAGCAUGGGGUAGCAAACAGGAUUAGAUACCCUGGUAG